GAGGGUGGAGCUCAGUGGUAAAGUGCGUGCUUAGCAUGCGCGAGGUACCGGGUUCGAUCCCCAGCACCUCCA
This 72-nucleotide transfer RNA is filed under the name Camelus bactrianus (Bactrian camel). It matches the Rfam family "tRNA". Rfam says of the family: Transfer RNA (tRNA) molecules are approximately 80 nucleotides in length. Their secondary structure includes four short double-helical elements and three loops (D, anti-codon, and T loops). The record is from Rfam by way of RNAcentral. Lineage: Eukaryota; Metazoa; Chordata; Mammalia; Artiodactyla; Camelidae. RNAcentral also lists the same sequence under 2 other names.